GCUGUUUAGAAUUCACUAACCUUUUGGUCGCCUAGAUAGGUCAAUUAAUUACAAAACCCUUAGAAACGUAUUCAUAACAAAACGAUAGCGAACUCGUUGAGAAGCGGGAACUUGUUUGCUACGUUAAGACAUAUUGAGUUCCCAAUCUUGAACGGAUUAAAGAGUUGAGCGCGAAAGAGGUCUACAGCACUUUUGGAGGCAGUGAUGGCCAUGGAGUACGCACACAUCGACACAUUCCCAUCGAGAACUGAACCUAGAAGCCAAGGAAAUAUAACAAAUCAAGAGUUAAUGCUGGAAUACAGCCUGGUUAUCUUGCUCCUGGGUUGCUUUGCGUUGGUGUCUCUUUGGUUCAAAUUUUAUCAACAAGUAAUGGAUUAUGAUUCAUUCUUCUGUUUGAAGACAAACUGAACUAAAACUGGAUGACUGGGGAGAACGUCAGGUAGAAACACGUUAGGGAAUCGUCCGCAAAGGAUGGAAUUUAUCAGCACAACAGCACAAAGAGAAUUUUAGAAUAUUACGACAUCACAGAAAAAUGAGCUUUUGCCUUUUCAGAAGACCUUUUGUAGAAUAAAAAAAUUAAUUGUGUUAUUUCUCUUUUUUACAUUUUUAUUUUGACACAUUUUUUUAAAUUCUUGCAUCGUCGCGUGCCUUACAAAUUGGAUAUAUUUAUGGAUGUUCAACGUGUUUUGAAGUUCAGAUGGAAAAGGUGUAGUUAUAAGUUGAUAAACAUGACAUUGAUGAAAACAAUGUAAAACAGCAGGUUCGCGAAAUUGACUUGAUCGGGGGAACUGUGGAUUGUCAUCGACGUGGUUCAAGCUCCUCCUUGUUUUCGAGAAGAAACUCAAGGGAGAUGUUUAUUUAUUUAAAGAUUGCAGUCAGCGAUAAUUGAGCUAUCCUUGAAUUAAUGAAAUAAGUUGUUGCUAAAAAUUGUAACAUACUUACUGGUAGCCAUAGAUGCAUGUACUUGUAUUGCAAACUUGACUGUUUUCUUGGCUAUAUAUUUUUUCUCAGAAUUAAAAAUCUUUCAGUUUCA
Stylophora pistillata is the source of this 1033-nucleotide long non-coding RNA. NCBI's taxonomy places the organism in Eukaryota, Metazoa, Cnidaria, Anthozoa, Scleractinia, Pocilloporidae. The record is from RefSeq and is a predicted model, not a curated record.